AAUUGUGAGGGAGAAACCUGCUUGGAGAUCCCCUCUCUUUGCUAAGAGCUUUCCUUUCGCUUAAUAAAUUCUUCCCUCCUCACCCUUCAAUGUGACCACGUGCCUAAUUUUUCCUGGUCAUGAGACAAGAACUCUGAUUUAGCUGAACUAGGGAGCAAAAAUUCUGCAUCAUUUUGGCCUAUACGGGGGUUUGUCAGAAGGGAAAGAAAACUGGAUCUGAGGCAGAUGACAAUGGAAGUUAAGAGACAUAGCACAGAUGGAGUCUCUCUUUGUCUCCAGGCUGGAAUGCAGUGGCACAAUCUUGGCUCACUGAAACCUCCGCCUCCCAAGUUCAAGGGAUUCCCUGCCUCAGCCUCCCAAGUAUCUGGGACUAUAGGCACACCGCCACCAUGCCCAGCUAAUUUUUUGUAUUUUAGUAGAGAUGAGGUUUCACCAUGUUGGCCAGGAUGGUCUCGAUCUCCUGACCUCGUGAUCCACCCACCUCGGCCUCCCAAAGUGCUGGGAUUACAGGCAUGAGCCACCGCGCCUGGCCAAAAAUGCAAAUAUUGUUAAAAUGUAAAUAGGUGGUCUAAGUUAUGUAGGUCAGAUAGUAAGUUUGCUAAAUGUUUUAAGGUUAUAAACUGCUUCUUUGGCUUUUGAGAACUAUUCUACAACUUGCCUGCUUCACAAUUGGUAAGGCCUGGGGAUGUAUGGAAUUAACCACACCCUUAACUAUGCUGGAAGGAGUCACACUUCAUUGGCACCUAGUGCAUAAUUAAAACAACUUACCAGAUUUUACAUUAAAGUUAAAAAUUGCUAAGAGUUAUCAUUAUAACAUGUAAUUGAGACCACUGAAAAUGGAUUCACCUGCAAGGUGUGUAAGAACAGUAAAAUGUGUUUUUAGUAAAAGAUUAUAAGAAGGCAUGGAAUGAAAAUUUUUGCCUGAGGGUAAAGGAUUGUUUUAAAUUAGAUAAGAUAAAGCUAAAGGCUUAAUCAAGUUGUGGAAGGUUUCUAAAAACUGAUCUUGCAAAAGAAAUGCUGUGUGUGAACAUAGAAUAGAAUAAAUUCAAAACGGUAUUAUAUGUUUUUUAUGUAAAUUGAGCAUUGAAAUAAAAGAACAAGAAGGUUUCCUUAAGGUGCUCAUCUGCUCUUUAGCAAAAUUUGUAAAAGAUUACAAAGGUUUAUAAGAAUCUCAUCUCAUGGUCAAACUGGUUAAGAUUAGAUAGAAUUGUCUGUAAGGUUUUCCUAGAAAAUUGGGGUUGACAUUAAGAGUAAACUAAUGUAAGGGUAAAAUUUGGCUUUCUCUCCCUUGUACAAGAUUUUCAUGUAAUAACAAAGGGAAAUGAAAGAUUUUUGUUUGUCUUGUGAAUAAACUGCCAAGGAAAAGAAAGAGAAGACAGGAGAUAAUCUGGAAAGCUAAGUCUUUCCUCUUAAUGAGUAAAGGUUUUUGCCUUGUUUUGAAAUUAUGAAACAUCAUUUUGGCAAAAUAAAUAAUUUAUGGUAAUCUAGAGUUCUGUUUCAUAAUAUCAAGUGCUUUGAACCUCUAACAUAUUUGACAGGUUGCCCAAAAUCAAAUUUCAGUUUCAAAAUUAUAUUUCCUGACCCCCAGCUUUUGCAUGCCACAGAGGGCCCCUAUUGCAUCCAAAAGAGAGGUAAAUAGGAUUAUUUGACAUAUUUAAGUAUGUGGGAUUGCCAAAAUGAUGCUUCAUCUUCAUCAGGUUAUAUUUCAGUGAAUAAUAUUAACGUAUGUUCCAAAAUUGUAUGGGAUUUCUAAAAUUCUAAUGUCUGAUUAUAUGCUAUCAAUCAUAAUUAAGAUUAUUACAGUAAGUUAUUAUAAACCACAGAGAUAACCAAAUUUCUUUAUCAAUUGUGUUUUUAACUGUAAGUACCCUGGACAUUUUGUUAUUCACAGACAACUGUUGUCUUGUUUUGAUCCUCUUCAAAAGAUGGUUUUAAUCAGCUAUGGAACUUUGACAGGUGCUCUCAAAUGCAAGUUUCUGAUAACUUUGGAGAUUGUGACAUUUGAAUGCUGGAAAAACGUAUAGGACUCAUGAAGAGUUAAAAUGUUCAUGAAUAUCAAGCAGAACAAGAGUUAAUGGAAUGGACUGAACUAAUAGAAAGCUGAAGUAAUCUUUUAUUAACUGUUGCUUAAAACAUUGCUGAUCCUUGUUUUGUUUUUCAGAGUUAAAGAAACUUUUGUUUUGAGCUAUUUACAGUCUUUAAUAAUUGAGUAAGUUAUACUCCUGUGAACAAAAUUUGGAGCAUGUUUGUUUCUCUCUGCCUGGUUCCUCUAGAAUUUGGAAACUAUUUGUGAGUAUUCUUAACUUAUAGCAAUAUGGUUAUUUGCAUCAGUGCAAUAAGAAUCCAUUUUCUUUUGCUGCAGGAUGCAAUUGGAGAAGCUGGUUGUUUUACCAAGGCUUUGACUGGAAGGGUACGCUUUCCUUUAAGGAAUCAAGCUCAACUUGCAGAGCUGAUAAAAGCCCCUUGGGAAAACUGGCUUCAUACCUUGUCUACACAGUCCCUGUAUAGGGUUCCUACCCUGUAUGGGGAGUAAAGAAUGUCACUUUCUAACAGGCCCAGGAACCCCAUGUCCUUGGGACCUCAAGAAGAAAGGAAUUUACCCAACUCGUAGGUAUUUGGGGUACAAACACAUGGCUAGGCUCAACUUUAAAAGGUGUUAUCUGAGAUUCCUUGUGGAACAGAGUUCCUUCAAAUCCAGUUUGAAAAGCCUAUGUAAAAAUAAUUAUUUUUGUUGCACUUUAUGCAAAUAAGCAGGCCAAAUAUAAGACUAAAGUUUAUUUUGCAAACAACUCAGUCCUAUCAUGAUUUGUUUUUAACAAAAAUGAGGACUGGAGAGAGAGAAAUUAUGUCUCAAACCUUAUCAUACAUCUGUCAUUAAAUUCUAGACCAAU
This is a long non-coding RNA of Pan troglodytes (chimpanzee), 2891 nucleotides long. RefSeq lists it as uncharacterized. NCBI's taxonomy places the organism in Eukaryota, Metazoa, Chordata, Mammalia, Primates, Hominidae. The record is from RefSeq and is a predicted model, not a curated record. The transcript is spliced from 3 exons.